Molecule: non-coding RNA, 984 nt
Organism: Pelodiscus sinensis (Chinese soft-shelled turtle)
Lineage: Eukaryota; Metazoa; Chordata; Testudines; Trionychidae
Source: RefSeq, a predicted model, not a curated record
UUGCGAUUCACUGACUACAAUUGUGCUCUUCGUAGGCGUGGUUCGGUUUUGCCUCUGAAGUUGUGACUCUGAACUGUGUCCCUGCUUGUCCGAUCUUUGCUCCUGGGAUUGUGACCUCAGGGAUUUAUCCAGCACAUUGUGAAGGGGCUGCUGAUGUUCCGUCACUCACCCUUAAUGCCUAACUCCCAAUGGGAGAUGUCUCUUUACACCAAAGGGACUUUCCUGUGAAUGUCUGAGUUGAAAGUGAGAACAACGGGUCUCCCUUCACUGAGCAGAGGAUAUAAAACACCCCGAAACAUCUGCAUUUUCCCUCUUUCCUGCUCUCCCUUCCGGACAAUAAAGUUAGAUUAAUGGGAGGAGUCUAAGCAAGGGACUAGGGACCUUCCAGGGACUGAGGAAGAACCCACAACUUAACAAGCCGGAAGAGUAUCCCAUCACUGCUACCAGCCCGAUCCAAUCACAGUGCAAUGAUGAACUCUUCCAGCUCUAAUGUUCACAGAACCCCUAGACUCCAGGCCUGUGUUACAAGACCAUAGGACAAAGGAACAUGUGGAACAGAAGACACCUAAAACCUGAUUGUAUCAUGCCAGCAACAGACACCACUGACCUGGUAAUCAGGAGCCUGAGAUGAGCAGUGGGUGGUACCCGGACUAGCAAACAGCCCCGCAGAAUAGACCCCAAGUCCCUCCCCAACGCAGGCAGCUUCAGAUCCCUCAGAAGGGAAGGGGAGAUGAAGUGGUAUGUCAGGUCCACAGGCCAGCAGGAGACCGGUGUAAUGGCUUUCUAUGUGAACAAAAGGCAAAAGCAGAAUGAGACGCUUGUAAAGACUGAGCCCCAAUCUGUGAAGUGUGAAAAAUCCCCCUAACGCACAUGGAUGAAGAUUCAGCAGCCAGCGACCAGCAGGACUGCCACAGUCUCCUCAAGCCUGGUGUGCAGGAUAUUGUGGGUGCAUCUAGACUGGCAAGAUUUUGCGCAAAAGUGGCU